RNAcentral lists this transfer RNA (73 nucleotides) under Caudoviricetes sp. Its description in RNAcentral is "tRNA-Met". It matches the Rfam family "tRNA". Rfam says of the family: Transfer RNA (tRNA) molecules are approximately 80 nucleotides in length. Their secondary structure includes four short double-helical elements and three loops (D, anti-codon, and T loops). Further hydrogen bonds mediate the characteristic L-shaped molecular structure. tRNAs have two regions of fundamental functional importance: the anti-codon, which is responsible for specific mRNA codon recognition, and the 3' end, to which the tRNAs corresponding amino acid is attached (by aminoacyl-tRNA synthetases). tRNAs cope with the degeneracy of the genetic code in two manners: having more than one tRNA (with a specific anti-codon) for a particular amino acid; and 'wobble' base-pairing, i.e. permitting non-standard base-pairing at the 3rd anti-codon position. Lineage: Duplodnaviria; Heunggongvirae; Uroviricota; Caudoviricetes. The record is from RNAcentral.
AGCGGAGUAGAGCAGAGGUCAGCUCGUCAGGCUCAUAACCUGAAGGUCGCGGGUUCGAAUCCCACCUCCGCAA